ACGGGGGUGCAAGCGUUGUUCGGAAUUAUUGGGCGUAAAGAGCGUGUAGGCGGCCUGAUGUGUCAGAUGUGAAAGCCCUGGGCUUAACCCAGGAAGUGCAUUUGAAACUGUCAGGCUUGAGUAGGGGAGAGGGAAGUGGAAUUCCUGGUGUAGAGGUGAAAUUCGUAGAUAUCAGGAGGAACACCGGUGGCGAAGGCGACUUCCUGGCCCUAUACUGACGCUGAGACGCGAGAGCGUGGGUAGCAAACAGGAUUAGAUACCCUGGUAGUCCACGCCGUAAACGAUGUUCACUAGGUGUUGGGGGUAUUGACCCCCUCAGUGCCGGAGCUAACGCAUUAAGUGAACCGCCUGGGGAGUACGGUCGCAAGACUA
This 372-nucleotide ribosomal RNA is filed under the name uncultured bacterium. RNAcentral describes it as "bacterial SSU rRNA". It matches the Rfam family "Bacterial small subunit ribosomal RNA", at positions 525 to 896 of the family's 1533-position model. The record is from RNAcentral.